This 498-nucleotide ribosomal RNA is filed under the name uncultured bacterium. RNAcentral's name for it is "partial 16S ribosomal RNA". It matches the Rfam family "Bacterial small subunit ribosomal RNA", at positions 28 to 507 of the family's 1533-position model. The record is from RNAcentral.
GACGAACGCUGGCGGCGUGCCUAAUACAUGCAAGUCGAGCGGACGAAUCGAAAGCUUGCUUUUGAUUCGUUAGCGGCGGACGGGUGAGUAACACGUGGGCAACCUGCCCUGUAGACGGGGAUAACACCGAGAAAUCGGUGCUAAUACCGGAUAACACGAAAUGUCGCAUGACGUUUCGUUGAAAGACGGCGCAAGCUGUCGCUACAGGAUGGGCCCGCGGCGCAUUAGCUAGUUGGUGAGGUAACGGCUCACCAAGGCGACGAUGCGUAGCCGACCUGAGAGGGUGAUCGGCCACACUGGGACUGAGACACGGCCCAGACUCCUACGGGAGGCAGCUGUAAGGAAUCUUCCGCAAUGGACGAAAGUCUGACGGAGCAACGCCGCGUGAGCGAAGAAGGCCUUCGGGUCGUAAAGCUCUGUUGUUAGGGAAGAACAAGUAACGCAGUAACUGGCGUUACCGUGACGGUACCUAACGAGAAAGCCACGGCUAACUACGUG